This 491-nucleotide ribosomal RNA is filed under the name uncultured bacterium. RNAcentral describes it as "partial 16S ribosomal RNA". It matches the Rfam family "Bacterial small subunit ribosomal RNA", at positions 29 to 507 of the family's 1533-position model. The record is from RNAcentral.
GUGAACGCUGGCGGUAGGCCUAACACAUGCAAGUCGCACGGCAGCACAGUAAGAGCUUGCUCUUACGGGUGGCGAGUGGCGGACGGGCGAGGAAUACAUCGGAAUCUACUUUUUCGUGGGGGAUAACGUAGGGAAACUUACGCUAAUACCGCAUACGACCUACGGGUGAAAGCAGGGGAUCUUCGGACCUUGCGCGAUUGAAUGAGCCGAUGUCGGAUUAGCUAGUUGGCGGGGUAAAGGCCCACCAAGGCGACGAUCCGUAGCUGGUCUGAGAGGAUGAUCAGCCACACUGGAACUGAGACACGGUCCAGACUCCUACGGGAGGCAGCAGUGGGGAAUAUUGGACAAUGGGCGCAAGCCUGAUCCAGCCAUACCGCGUGGGUGAAGAAGGCCUUCGGGUUGUAAAGCCCUUUUGUUGGGAAAGAAAAGCGGCAGGUUAAUACCCCGCUGUUCUGACGGUACCCAAAGAAUAAGCACCGGCUAACUUCGUG